RNAcentral lists this ribosomal RNA (427 nucleotides) under uncultured prokaryote. RNAcentral's name for it is "bacterial SSU rRNA". It matches the Rfam family "Bacterial small subunit ribosomal RNA", at positions 355 to 774 of the family's 1533-position model. The record is from RNAcentral.
UGGGGAAUUUUGGACAAUGGGGGCAACCCUGAUCCAGCCAUGCCGCGUGAGUGAAGAAGGCCUUCGGGUUGUAAAGCUCUUUCGGCGGGGAAGAAAUAGCGUGGGUUAAUACCCUGCGUUGAUGACGGUACCCGCAUAAGAAGCACCGGCUAACUACGUGCCAGCAGCCGCGGUAAUACGUAGGGUGCGAGCGUUAAUCGGAAUUACUGGGCGUAAAGCGUGCGCAGGCGGUUAUAUAAGUCAGAUGUGAAAGCCCCGGGCUCAACCUGGGAACUGCAUUUGAGACGGUAUGACUAGAGUGUGGCAGAGGGGGGUGGAAUUCCACGGUUAGCAGUGAAAUGCGUAGAGAUGUGGAGGAACACCGAUGGCGAAGGCAGCCCCCUGGGCCAAUACUGACGCUCAUGCACGAAAGCGUGGGGAGCAAACA